AACGAACGCUGGCGGCGUGGAUAAGACAUGCAAGUCGAACGGGAUUAUUUUUGUAGCAAUACAGAAAUAAUUCAGUGGCGAACGGGUGCGUAACACGUGGGCAAUCUGCCGAAAAGUGGGGGAUAGCUCGCCGAAAGGCGAAUUAAUACCGCAUGUGGUGAGGGACGACAUCUUCCUGAAUCCAAAGCCGGGGUAACCUGGCGCUUUUUGAGGAGCCCGCGGCCUAUCAGCAGUUGGCGGGGUAACGGCCCACCAAGGCUUUGACGGGUAGCUGGUCUGAGAGGACGACCAGUCACACUGGAACUGAGACACGGUCCAGACACCUACGGGUGGCAGCAGUCGAGAAUUUUUCUCAAUGGGGGAAACCCUGGAAGGAGCGACGCCGCGUGGAGGAUGAAGG
RNAcentral lists this ribosomal RNA (400 nucleotides) under uncultured bacterium. Its description in RNAcentral is "bacterial SSU rRNA". It matches the Rfam family "Bacterial small subunit ribosomal RNA", at positions 29 to 414 of the family's 1533-position model. The record is from RNAcentral.